UGUUGUGAGGCGGAACCUGAAGAAGGACGGCGGCAAAGCUCAGGCCCGACGAACAGAAAUCAUGUAAGGCCACAUACAAGUGUGAGAAUAGCCGCACGGGAUCGUUUGUGGCAGACUUGGCGGGGAUCAGAGGGAAAGAAUGU
RNAcentral lists this non-coding RNA (143 nucleotides) under bovine gut metagenome. The record is from RNAcentral.